UACGUAGGGGGCUAGCGUUGUCCGGAUUUAUUGGGCGUAAAGAGCGUGUAGGCGGCCAGGUAGGUCUGGUGUGAAAACUCGAGGCUUAACCUCGAGAUGUCAUCGGAAACCAUCUGGCUAGAGUCCGGAAGAGGAGAGUGGAAUUCCUGGUGUAGCGGUGAAAUGCGCAGAUAUCAGGAAGAACACCAAUGGCGAAAGCAGCUCGCUGGGACGUAACUGACACUGAGGCGCGAAAGCGUGGGGAGCGAACAGG
This 253-nucleotide ribosomal RNA is filed under the name uncultured bacterium. RNAcentral's name for it is "partial 16S ribosomal RNA". It matches the Rfam family "Bacterial small subunit ribosomal RNA", at positions 524 to 776 of the family's 1533-position model. The record is from RNAcentral.